This 879-nucleotide ribosomal RNA is filed under the name Lactobacillus sp. MF-07. Its description in RNAcentral is "bacterial SSU rRNA". It matches the Rfam family "Bacterial small subunit ribosomal RNA", at positions 61 to 917 of the family's 1533-position model. The record is from RNAcentral. Lineage: Bacteria; Bacillati; Bacillota; Bacilli; Lactobacillales; Lactobacillaceae.
GUGAAAUUCAAAGAUUCCUUCGGGAUGAUUGUGGGACGCUAGCGGCGGGAUGGGUGAGUUACAACGUCGGCAAUCUCCCUAAAGACUGGGAUACCCCUAGAUACCAGUGGUAAUACCGGAUAACAACAUGAAUCGCCAGGUUCUAGUUUGAAAAGCGGGCGCUAGCUGUCACUUUAGGAUGAGCCCGCGGCGCAUUAGCUAGUUGGUGGGGUAAAGGCCUACCAAGGCAAUGAUGCGUAGCCGAGUUGAGAGACUGAUCGGCCACAUUGGGACUGAGACACGGCCCAAACUCCUACGGGAGGCAGCAGUAGGGAAUCUUCCACAAUGGACGCAAGUCUGAUGGAGCAACGCCGCGUGAGUGAAGAAGGUUUUCGGAUCGUAAAGCUCUGUUGUUGGUGAAGAAGGAUAGAGGCAGUAACUGGUCUUUAUUUGACGGUAAUCAACCAGAAAGUCACGGCUAACUACGUGCCAGCAGCCGCGGUAAUACGUAGGUGGCAAGCGUUGUCCGGAUUUAUUGGGCGUAAAGCGAGCGCAGGCGGAAUGAUAAGUCUGAUGUGAAAGCCCACGGCUCAACCGUGGAACUGCAUCGGAAACUGUCAUUCUUGAGUGCAGAAGAGGAGAGUGGAACUCCAUGUGUAGCGGUGGAAUGCGUAGAUAUAUGGAAGAACACCAGUGGCGAAGGCGGCUCUCUGGUCUGCAACUGACGCUGAGGCUCGAAAGCAUGGGUAGCGAACAGGAUUAGAUACCCUGGUAGUCCAUGCCGUAAACGAUGAGCGCUAGGUGUUGGGGACUUUCCGGUCCUCAGUGCCGCAGCAAACGCAUUAAGCGCUCCGCCUGGGGAGUACGACCGCAAGGUUGAAACUCAAAGGAAUUGACGGG